UAGCUAGUUGGUGAGGUAAAGGCUUACCAAGGCGACGAUCUGUAGCGGGUCUGAGGGGAUGAUCCGCCACACUGGAACUGAGACACGGUCCAGACUCCUACGGGAGGCAGCAGUGGGGAAUUUUGGACAAUGGGGGCAACCCUGAUCCAGCCAAGCCGCGUGAGUGAAGAAGGCCUUCGGGUUGUAAAGCUCUUUCGGCCGGGAAGAAAUCGCAUGGGCCAAUACCCUGUGUGGAUGACGGUACCGGAAUAAGAAGCACCGGCUAACUACGUGCCAGCAGCCGCGGUAAUACGUAGGGUGCGAGCGUUAAUCGGAAUUACUGGGCGUAAAGCGUGCGCAGGCGGUUUUGUAAGACAGGCGUGAAAUCCCCGGGCUUAACCUGGGAACUGCGUUUGUGACUGCAAGGCUAGAGUACGGCAGAGGGGGGUGGAAUUCCACGUGUAGCAGUGAAAUGCGUAGAGAUGUGGAGGAACACCAAUGGCGAAGGCAGCCCCCUGGGUCGAUACUGACGCUCAUGCACGAAAGCGUGGGUAGCAAACAGGAUUAGAUACCCUGGUAGUCCACGCCCUAAACUAUGUCAACUAGGUGUUGGGUGGGUAAAACCAUUUAGUACCGUAGCUAACGCGUGAAGUUGACCGCCUGGGGAGUACGGCCGCAAGGUUAAAACUCAAAGGAAUUGACGGGGACCCGCACAAGCGGUGGAUGAUGUGGAUUAAUUCGAUGCAACGCGAAAAACCUUACCUACCCUUGACAUGCCAGGAACUUGCCAGAGAUGGCUUGGUGCCCGAAAGGGAGCCUGGACACAGGUGCUGCAUGGCUGUCGUCAGCUCGUGUCGUGAGAUGUUGGGUUAAGUCCCGCAACGAGCGCAACCCUUGUCGUUAAUUGCCAUCAUUUAGUUGGGCACUUUAACGAGACUGCCGGUGACAAACCGGAGGAAGGUUGGGAUGACGUCAAGUCCUCAUGGCCCUUAUGGGUAGGGCUUCACACGUCAUACAAUGGUCGGUACAAAGGGUUGCCAAGCCGCGAGGCGGAGCCAAUCCCAGAAAGCCGAUCGUAGUCCGGAUUGCAGGCUGCAACUCGCCUGCAUGAAGUCGGAAUCGCUAGUAAUCGUGGAUCAGCAUGUCACGGUGAAUACGUUCCCGGGUCUUGUACACACCGCCCGUCACACCAUGGGAGCGGGUUCCGCCAGAAGUAGGUAGCCUAACCGCAAGGGGGGCGCUUACCACGGCGGGGUUCGUGACUGGGGUGAAGUCGAAACAAGGUAGCCGUAGGGGAACCUGCGGCUG
This 1287-nucleotide ribosomal RNA is filed under the name metagenome. RNAcentral describes it as "bacterial SSU rRNA". It matches the Rfam family "Bacterial small subunit ribosomal RNA", at positions 242 to 1520 of the family's 1533-position model. The record is from RNAcentral.